AUUCAGAAAAGCAGUUUCAGGCUCCAAAACUCAAUGCCAAACAGGGCUUUAGAUGUUGCAAAAAAGCAGUUUCAAACUGCUAUUUAGAACAUUUACAUUUAAAACAAUCUUUAAUGGCCUCUAAUCAAACAUAUUCAAGAUGAUUUCUCAAUUGCAACUCUAACAAUAAUACCAAAUAGAUCUUAUGUAGGUUUAAAAAUGUUGACUACCUAAAAAAAACAUCACAUAGGUUUUCAAGAAAUUGUUACACAAUCUAUAGAACGAAUACUAUAUAGGUUUUUAAAAAAAAAUGCUUGACCUAUCUAUAGAAAAUUUUCACAUCCUAAUUCUAGUUGAAUUCAUAAUUAGGAAUGGAACAAACAUGGAUAUAUGCAAACUCUUUUUAGUUAAUAAAGCAAAACAGAAUGAGUGUUUUGCACCAAUAAUACCCAAAGAGCUACUUGUUUAUCACUCAUGUAAAGGUCAUAGUUAUUAAGGCACAGAUGCACUAAGGUGCUAAG
This 500-nucleotide unclassified non-coding RNA is filed under the name Hevea brasiliensis (rubber tree). The record is from RNAcentral. Lineage: Eukaryota; Viridiplantae; Streptophyta; Magnoliopsida; Malpighiales; Euphorbiaceae.